AGUGAACGCUGGCGGUAGGCCUAACACAUGCAAGUCGAACGGCAGCACAGUAAGAGCUUGCUCUUACGGGUGGCGAGUGGCGGACGGGUGAGGAAUACAUCGGAAUCUACUUUUUCGUGGGGGAUAACGUAGGGAAACUUACGCUAAUACCGCAUACGACCUACGGGUGAAAGCAGGGGAUCUUCGGACCUUGCGCGAUUGAAUGAGCCGAUGUCGGAUUAGCUAGUUGGCGGGGUAAAGGCCCACCAAGGCGACGAUCCGUAGCUGGUCUGAGAGGAUGAUCAGCCACACUGGAGCUGAGACACGGUCCAGACUCCUACGGGAGGCAGCAGUGGGGAAUAUUGGACAGUGGGCGCAAGCCUGAUCCAGCCAUACCGCGUGGGUGAAGAAGGCCUUCGGGUUGUAAAGCCCUUUUGUUGGGAAAGAAAAGCAGCAGGUUAAUACCCCGCUGUUCUGACGGUACCCAAAGAAUAAGCACCGGCUAACUUCGUG
This 492-nucleotide ribosomal RNA is filed under the name uncultured bacterium. Its description in RNAcentral is "partial 16S ribosomal RNA". It matches the Rfam family "Bacterial small subunit ribosomal RNA", at positions 29 to 507 of the family's 1533-position model. The record is from RNAcentral.